This 583-nucleotide ribosomal RNA is filed under the name uncultured bacterium. Its description in RNAcentral is "partial 16S ribosomal RNA". It matches the Rfam family "Bacterial small subunit ribosomal RNA", at positions 355 to 1375 of the family's 1533-position model. The record is from RNAcentral.
UGGGGAAUUUUGGACAAUGGGCGAAAGCCUGAUCCAGCAAUGCCGCGUGUGUGAAGAAGGCCUUCGGGUUGUAAAGCACUUUUGUCCGGAAAGAAAUCCUUGGCUCUAAUACAGUCGGGGGAUGACGGUACCGGAAGAAUAAGCACCGGCUAACUACGUGCCAGCAGCCGCGGUAAUACGUAGGGUGCAAGCGUAAUCGGAAUUACUGGGCGUAAAGCGUGCGCAGGCGGUUUGCUAAGACCGAUGUGAAAUCCCCGGGCUCAACCUGGGAACUGCAUUGGUGACUGGCAGGCUAGAGUAUGGCAGAGGGGGGUAGAAUUCCACGUGUAGCAGUGAAAUGCGUAGAGAUGUGGAGGAAUACCGAUGGCGAAGGCAGCCCCCUGGGCCAAUACUGACGCUCAUGCACGAAAGCGUGGGGAGCAAACAGGAUUAGAUACCCUGGUAGUCCACGCCCUAAACGAUGUCAACUAGUUGUUGGGGAUUCAUUCCUUAGUAACGUAGCUAACGCGUGAAGUUGACCGCCUGGGGAGUACGGUCGCAAGAUUAAAACUCAAAUGAAUUGACGGGGUCAUAGCUGUUUCCU